This is a non-coding RNA of Pimephales promelas (fathead minnow), 306 nucleotides long. The record is from RefSeq and is a predicted model, not a curated record. NCBI's taxonomy places the organism in Eukaryota, Metazoa, Chordata, Actinopteri, Cypriniformes, Leuciscidae.
GCAGGAUUGAAGAGGAUGAUGAUGAACCAAAGAAGGCAAUGGGAAACCCAGAAUACAAGUAAACUAACACAGGUCUCUGUUCUUCACAUCCCAUCUCCAGCAAUCCCCGGUGGAUCAGGGAACAUAGACAGAAGGUAUAACCAUAUGGAACUAAUAAAUCCAUGAAGACCGAUUCCGUAGUGAUGCCCCCAGUCCCCCGGCCAGGUCCAGACAUGAUAAAAGAGCACAGCGCAGUGAUCUCAGCAGCCCCAUGACAGACAUGAUGCAGUGAGAGACUGGGAGAUUGGCCUUCCCAUUGCCUUUGUG